RNAcentral lists this ribosomal RNA (253 nucleotides) under uncultured bacterium. RNAcentral describes it as "partial 16S ribosomal RNA". It matches the Rfam family "Bacterial small subunit ribosomal RNA", at positions 524 to 776 of the family's 1533-position model. The record is from RNAcentral.
GACGGAUGGCGCAAGCGAUGUUCGGAAUUACUGGGCGUAAAGCGCGUGUAGGCGGCCAGGUAAGUCGGAUGUGAAAUCCCCGGGCCCAACCCCGGAACUGCACACGAUACUGCCUGGCUGGAGUCCCGGAGAGGAUGGCGGAAUUUCCGGUGUAGAGGUGAAAUUCGUAGAUAGCGGAAGGAACACCAGUGGCGAAGGCGGCAAUCUGGACGGUGACUGACGCUGAGACGCGAAAGCGUGGGGAGCAAACAGG